This is a non-coding RNA of Microcebus murinus (gray mouse lemur), 1934 nucleotides long. NCBI's taxonomy places the organism in Eukaryota, Metazoa, Chordata, Mammalia, Primates, Cheirogaleidae. The record is from RefSeq and is a predicted model, not a curated record.
CCGCCCGAGCCUGAAACGGGCGGGGAAAGGGACGGAGGAGACUUAGAGGAGGGAAGGGAGGGGAGAGGAAGGCCCAAAGAAACCUACGUUUUAUUGCGAAGCCCUUAUGUCUAGGGCGGAGUGCUGGGUGCUUGACCUGCGCUCUCACAAGCUUCCAGUGAUUUAUCCUCAUUUCACUCUCAUUUCACAGUAGAAAAUUUUAGAUUGCAUGUGUGGCUCUCCUUUGUGGUUCCUGUCAUAUUUCUAACUGACAGUGCUGGAUCAGAAAGUGACUUGUCCGAGGCUACACAACUAUUACUUUCUUAGAGUGGCUUCCUCAACUCACCCUCAGUCCACCCUCAUUGACUGGACUACAGGCUCUGUGAGAGCAGGGAUUGUGUAUGUCAUGUUCACUGCUGCAUUAUCCAUCAAGCCUAGUACAGUGCCUGCUAGAGGGGAAGGUUUCUCAAUCAGCCUUGUGGGCCAUGGGUGGCGGCAGCAGUUCCAGGUACAACAUCGAGAAGAAUAAGAGAGAUCAUUUUUUUUUGAGGCUCUUUCUUAGGAUGAAGGGAGAAGGAAGAAAGGAUGCUGGUAGGGACCAGAUGUGUCCCUUGCCUAAAGAAAGGAUUCUGCAGUCAAGUAUGUUCAGCUGGAAAAGCCAUAAAACCAGCUCUCACAAUGGCCCAUAAGAAUGUAACAAAUUUCAUAAGCCCCUAAUUCUGAGAAGCAGUUCCCAUCAAUGCCUCACAACAAUGACCCUCAUGAGUGAGGCCUUCCAGAAAUGCUUUAGUAAUAAUGGAUAGAGAGAACUAUUUGUGCUAUCACCAUUGGAGGCCAGUAAAAAGGACAUUGGCCAAAACCACUUUGCUCUUGGGAAGUAAGCAGAUUCCCUAGCAAGUAAGCAGAAGCAGUUGUUUAUUAUGCAGCCUUAGCACUAAGGAUGUAUAUUAGUUGUGUCUUGCUACCUAACAAGUUACCCCAAAACUUAGUGACUUAAAAUAACAACGAACAUUUAUUAUCUCACACAACUUCAAAGAAUCAGGAAUUUAGAAGCAGCUUAUCAGGAUGGUUCUGACUCAGAGUCUCUCAUGAGGUUGCAGUCAAGAUGUCAGUCACUUCCAAGAUGGCUCACUCACAUGGCCAGCACGUUGAUACUGGCUGUUGGCUGGAAACCUCAGUUCCCCGCCACGUAGAUGUCUUUAUCAGGCUGACUGAGUGUUCUCACAACAUGCUGACUGGCUUCCCCCAGAGCAAGUGACCCAAGAGAGAGUAAGACAAAAGCCACAGUGCCUUUUGUGACCUAGCCUCAGAAUUUAGUCCAUCAUUUCUGCAGUAUCUAUGGAUCGCACAGUUCAGACCUAUUCACUGUGGGAGGGCACUCCACAGGGCAUGAAUACCAGGAAGUGAGAUUCACUGGGACCCUCUUGGAAGUGGAGCCUCUCCAGCCAGUCAAGCCUUCAGAUGACUGUAACCUCAUGAGACAUAGAGAGCCGGAAGCCAUCCCUAAAUUCCUAAUCCACAGAAACAGUGAAAUCAUAAAUGCUUGUUGUUUCAUCCUCCUAAGUUUUAGGUAAUUUGUUGUGCAGCAAGAGAUAUACAAAGUCCAAGCAGGUUAGGUACCAAAGAAUGAGAUUCAUAGUGACUGGUAGUCACUAUGACCUAUUGAUAAUCUGAGCAUUUGAUUAACACCCAUUAGAUGCCCUGAAUCAUUCACAGCAGAUAUCAAUGAAAUUAACACCAGCAACAAUGAAGGCAAAGAAUGUUCCUGCACCCCAUAUCAGCAAAAAGGGAAACUGCUAAAUUUGCACUUUCCCAUAGAGGAUCAUAAUGCACAUUAGUAUAUUAAAAGCUCUGAGCAAUCUUAUAUGGCGGAAACUGUUUAACUUUGUUCCACCCAAUGUUUUCCAAGUUCAUUUCACCACAGAAGCCACUUUUCAUGUAACACAUUAGUAUCC